CCUACGGGAGGCAGCAGUGGGGAAUUUUGGACAAUGGGCGCCAGCCUGAUCCAGCAAUGCCGCGUGAGUGAAGAAGGCCUUCGGGUUGUAAAGCUCUUUUGUCAGGGAAGAAACGGCUGAGGUUAAUACCUUCGGCUAAUGACGGUACCUGAAGAAUAAGCACCGGCUAACUACGUGCCAGCAGCCGCGGUAAUACGUAGGGUGCAAGCGUUAAUCGGAAUUACUGGGCGUAAAGCGUGCGCAGGCGGUUUUGUAAGUCUGACGUGAAAUCCCCGGGCUCAACCUGGGAAUUGCGUUGGAGACUGCAAGGCUGGAGUCUGGCAGAGGGGGGUAGAAUUCCACGUGUAGCAGUGAAAUGCGUAGAGAUGUGGAGGAACACCGAUGGCGAAGGCAGCCCCCUGGGUCAAGACUGACGCUCAUGCACGAAAGCGUGGGGAGCAAACAGGAUUAGAUACCCUGGUAGUCCACGCCCUAAACGAUGUCUACUAGUUGUCGGGUCUUAAUUGACUUGGUAACGCAGCUAACGCGUGAAGUAGACCGCCUGGGGGAGGUACGGUCGCGAGAAGUUAAAACGUUAAAGUUAGUAAGUUAGUACGGCGUGAGACGUGACCGACGGACGACGACGAGGGAGGUUAGG
Molecule: ribosomal RNA, 637 nt
Filed under: uncultured bacterium
Lineage: Bacteria
Description: bacterial SSU rRNA
Rfam family: Bacterial small subunit ribosomal RNA (bases 1-542)
Source: RNAcentral